AACCUGGUUGAUCUUGCCAGUAGUCAUAUGCUUGUCUCAAAGAUUAAGCCAUGCAAGUGAAAGUAUAUGCAUAUUUUAUAUGUAGAAACUGCGAACGGCUCAUUAAAACAGUUAUAAUCUACUUGACAUUUUAUUAUAAGGAUAACUACGGAAAAGCUGUAGCUAAUACUUGCUUUAAGUGCUUUUUACUUCUUGGAGUAAUUAGCAUGUAUUUGUUAAGCCUUAUAAGAAAAAUUUUUAAUUAAAGGAAUUAUAACAAAGAAGUAACACAUAAUAUAUUUACUAUAUUUAGUGUGUAUCAAUCGAGUUUCUGACCUAUCAGCUUUUGAUGUUAGGGUAUUGGCCUAACAUGGCUAUGACGGGUAACGGGGAAUUAGAGUUCGAUUCCGGAGAGGGAGCCUGAGAAAUAGCUACCACAUCUAAGGAAGGCAGCAGGCGCGUAAAUUACCCAAUUCUAAAUAAGAGAGGUAGUGACAAGAAAUAACAAUAUAAGGCCAAAUUUUGGUUUUAUAAUUGGAAUGAUGGGAAUUUAAAACCUUCCCAAAAAUCAAUUGGAGGGCAAGUCUGGUGCCAGCAGCCGCGGUAAUUCCAGCUCCAAUAGCGUAUAUUAAAAUUGUUGCAGUUAAAACGCUCGUAGUUGAACUUCAAGGGUAUUAUUAUUUUAAGUAACUCACUUGGCGAGAAUCUUGGCUCCGCCUCGAUAUCUUCAUGCCUUGUUGUAGUUCUUUUAAUUACAGACCCUUUGAGAGCCCAAUGAUUUAUCACUGGGUUUCUCGUUACUUUGAGUAAAUUAGAGUGUUCAAAGCAAACAGUUAAAGCGUUUUCGCGUUUGAAUACUAUAGCAUGGAAUAACAAAAUUGAACAAGUCAAAUUUUUUGUUCUUUUUUCUUAUUUUGGCUUAGUUACGAUUAAUAGGAGUAGCUUGGGGGCAUUUGUAUUCAGAUGUCAGAGGUGAAAUUCUUAGAUUUUCUGGAGACAAACAACUGCGAAAGCAUUUGCCUAAAAUACUUCCAUUAAUCAAGAACGAAAGUUAAGGGAGUGAAGACGAUCAGAUACCGUCGUAAUCUUAACCAUAAACUAUGCCGACUAGGUUUUGGAUGAAAAUUUUUAAAUAAGAUUUCCCUUCGGGGAUUUCUUAGAUUGCUUCCUUCAGUACCUUAUGAGAAAUCAAAGUCUUUGGGUUCUGGGGCGAGUAUUCGCGCAAGCGAGAAAGUUAAAAGAAUUGACGGAAGGGCACCACCAGGCGUGGAGCUUGCGGCUUAAUUUGACUCAACACGGGGAAACUCACUAGUUUAAGACAAGAGUAGGAUUGACAGAUUAAUAGCUCUUUCUUGAUUUCUUGGAUGGUGAUGCAUGGCCGUUUUUAGUUCG
This 1371-nucleotide ribosomal RNA is filed under the name Plasmodium berghei. RNAcentral's name for it is "SSU rRNA". It matches the Rfam family "Eukaryotic small subunit ribosomal RNA", at positions 1 to 1301 of the family's 1831-position model. Lineage: Eukaryota; Apicomplexa; Aconoidasida; Haemosporida; Plasmodiidae. The record is from RNAcentral.